CUUCCCUUUCCCACCCCCAGCUCACCCUGGAAGUCGAAGUCAGUGAGUGAGGGAUUGAUGGCAUCCAGAACCUCUGGUGGAUCAACACACUUUUCCACUCCUGGACAGACCACUCCGGCCAACUUGCCCACUCCUCAUCUGAUGGCAGCCCAGCAGGAUAAACUUAUUUGAACAUCAAGCGUCAAAUUAUCCCCAGGCAGGACCAUAGAUGGUGGGGGCAGGAAUCACCCCCUGGCAGGUGGAGCUGAGUUCUGGAUUACCCGGGUCUCAGCAACUGCCCACUGCCUGGGUGACAGAUGAGAUUUGUGUCUACUAGGGCUUGGAGAAGGCACUCCUCACACACAAUCUCUGGUCUCCCUGAUACCCAUCCCAGGAGAAGGGGGUCUGUGCUGGAGGGUCUAGGUGGCACGCAGAGAGGGGUGUGCAAAGCCAAAUAGCUUGAUCCAGUAACUGAUCCCAUCUACUGUGCGACCUUAGGGGAAUGGACCACCCUGUCUGAUGUGUUUGUCCACCUUGGGAGAAGAGCCCCUGUCCUGCCUCUAGAGAGGGAGCUGGGUAAGGCUCCCAGAAGCGCCUUCUGUGAAUGAUAGAAAUGAGAUUCUGCCCAAGGGGUUGGGGGAGAGUCAGGUGAGCCAGCCUGGGACACUCAAAGACUGGGAAGCCCACACCCCGCUUUCUGGCAGAACUGCAGCUGAGCCUGCCACCCACAGAGAUAGAUCCUAAUCUCACCUUGGAAGGCAAUGGCUUCUUCAGCCCCGACCUCCCAGUCACCGUGGCUGACUAGCUUCUCCAGCCCCACAGCAUCCCAGCGGUCGGGGUAGCAAUAGUGUCUUAUUUCUUCUCCAACUUUCUCUUCCCACUUGGGGUAGGUGGAUGCUCCCUGAGGCCCAUCGGUGCUACCUUGCCCACCUUCCCCAGCAGAAGGUCUGACUCCAGUCUGCUGUGCAACCUUGGAUGAGCCACUUGGGCUCUCUGUUCCCCACUUGGAGCACCUUUUGUAGGAACUCUGUCCUUCUGAGGUGGAGACAACGGAAAGCAUGGUGGGGGUAAGCCCUCUCCUGGCUUUCGUUCUAAUUCUUCUCCCACCUCCAGACAGAAGCCUCUGCUCAGAGAGGCCUGGCCUGUCCAGGACUUGGGGGUGAUGGGAUGGGGAGGAAUCUUGGGCUCACCUUGAAGUAAGGAAAGUGCUCCGUCAUAAAAUUGUAGAUCUCGCUGACGGGAAGGCUCCCAGUUUUACUGUUCUUAAGGGCCAUGAAGAUGAGGAUGCUGAAGAAAGAGAAAGCCCCUGAGAGUCCGAACCUCUGACUGGGUCCUGAGCCCACCCCAAGCCCCCCACCCCUGGUGAGAGGCUCUAUGGGAUUGGAGGUGAAAGAGAAGGGAAUGAGAAGGUGUCCAUUGAAGUGAGCACGGAAGUCAGGAAUUACAGACGUGCGAGGGUCUUGUGGAAUCUGAGAAACCUGGGUGGCCAUCCUGGCCUAGUUACUCUCUGGCUGUGUGACCUUGGGUGAAUGCCUUACCCUCUCUGAACCUCAGUUUCCUCAACUUUGAAGUGAAGAAAGUAAUAGCUACCUCAGAGUUGUGAGGAUUAAGGAUGGUGCCUGUCACAUAGAAGGCACUCAUUAAACGGAAGCUGUCAUUACUAGUUAGUCCUCAGCCAAUUGCAUGAAUGUUGGAGAGUAGGGAGGGAACUAAGGUUUCUUGAGCCUAUGCAAUGUACCAAGCACAGUACCUACAUUCUCUUACUUAAUCCUUCCAACAGCCUGAACUGCUACCC
This 1774-nucleotide long non-coding RNA is filed under the name Homo sapiens (human). Its description in RNAcentral is "HSALNT0389191". Lineage: Eukaryota; Metazoa; Chordata; Mammalia; Primates; Hominidae. The record is from RNAcentral.